RNAcentral lists this ribosomal RNA (464 nucleotides) under Vreelandella stevensii. RNAcentral describes it as "partial 16S ribosomal RNA". It matches the Rfam family "Bacterial small subunit ribosomal RNA", at positions 338 to 795 of the family's 1533-position model. Lineage: Bacteria; Pseudomonadati; Pseudomonadota; Gammaproteobacteria; Oceanospirillales; Halomonadaceae. The record is from RNAcentral.
CCUACGGGGGGCUGCAGUGGGGAAUAUUGGACAAUGGGGGCAACCCUGAUCCAGCCAUGCCGCGUGUGUGAAGAAGGCCCUCGGGUUGUAAAGCACUUUCAGUGAGGAAGAACGCCUGGUGGUUAAUACCAUCAGGAAAGACAUCACUCACAGAAGAAGCACCGGCUAACUCCGUGCCAGCAGCCGCGGUAAUACGGAGGGUGCGAGCGUUAAUCGGAAUUACUGGGCGUAAAGCGCGCGUAGGUGGCUUGAUAAGCCGGUUGUGAAAGCCCCGGGCUCAACCUGGGAACGGCAUCCGGAACUGUCAAGCUAGAGUGCAGGAGAGGAAGGUAGAAUUCCCGGUGUAGCGGUGAAAUGCGUAGAGAUCCGAAGGAAUACCAGUGGCGAAGGCGGCCUUCUGGACUGACACUGACACUGAGGUGCGAAAGCGUGGGUAGCAAACAGGAUUAGAUACCCUUGUAGUC